RNAcentral lists this long non-coding RNA (1063 nucleotides) under Amazona collaria (yellow-billed parrot). RNAcentral describes it as "lncRNA (ENSACOG00000012969.1)". The record is from RNAcentral. Lineage: Eukaryota; Metazoa; Chordata; Aves; Psittaciformes; Psittacidae.
AUGGGGCAUAGGAGCACCCCACUGCCCCCACUGCCCCCCGGGACCCACAGUGCACAGCACACCCCUGCCCUGCUUCUGUGCCCCCCAGGUGCGCACUGCGGACAUGGGGGGCUACGCCACCUCCCACGAUUUCACCCAAGCUGUGAUCGAGGCCCUGGAGGUGUAGGGGCCCCCCCCCCCGUGCCCACGGCCUCUGUUAUUUAUGGCUUCCCCCCAAUAAAUGUGGGCUCUGCAGCACCGGGGUGGCCCCGUCCUCGCCCGCGGACACCGGGGCUCCGGGGGGGGCAGCACCGUCACCCCCGGCCCCACACCACCACCACAAAGAGCAUCAACAGCCACGGCAGUGCUUUACUGAGCCCCUGCCCUCCACGGGCCCCACACAGCCCCAGGACACCCCCAAACGGGGCCAUGGGCCCGGAGGGGUCAAUGCCACACACGGGGCAGGGACGCGGGAGCCGCAGCCCCGCACCAACCUCCAGGCGGUCCACGAGUCCAAGCAUUGGGCCCAGUGCCCUCAGUCCUCCUCGUCCCGAGCCACCUUCUUCUUCUUCUUCCUCUUCCUCUUCUCCUCCUCCUCAGGCUCAGCCUCGGCCGUCGCUUUCCUCUUCUUCUUGGGCACGGCCUCGGCCUCCUCCUCCUCCUGCAGCCCGUUCUGUUCCGGCUCCGAUUCAAUCCCCUCCUCCUCCUGCUGCUGCUUCUUCUUCCUCUUCUUCCGGGGCUCCGCGGCGCCCUCCUGCGGGAGCCACAGGGUCAGGAGGAGCCGGAGCCGGCGCGGUGCCCAUCCCCACCAUCCCCAUCCCCCACCAUCCCCAUCCCCACCAUCCCCAUCCCCAUCCCCAUCCCCACCAUCCCCAUCCCCGACCCCCUCCCGCCCUCACCUCGGGCUCUGGCACUGAGUUCUCCUCCUGCUCCUCCUGCGCCGCCACCGCUGCCAGCGCCUCCAAACGCCGCUUCUCCCUCUUCUUCCUCUUCUUUUCCUUCUUCUCCUGCUUCCUCUUCACCUCCGCCACCACCUCACCCGCCUGGGGGGGGGGGGGGGUGAGAGGAGGGUUCAGCCCCAGCC